UAAAAUGGCGGUUCGUAUACGAUCACCGAAGUUAAGCAACGUUGAACCUGGUCAGUACCUAGGUGGGUGAUUGCUUGGAAAUUCCAGGUGCUGUAAA
Molecule: non-coding RNA, 97 nt
Organism: Acanthosepion pharaonis
Lineage: Eukaryota; Metazoa; Mollusca; Cephalopoda; Sepiida; Sepiidae
Source: the annotation of a GenBank genome assembly